Molecule: non-coding RNA, 100 nt
Filed under: bovine gut metagenome
Description: THF riboswitch
Rfam family: THF (Tetrahydrofolate) riboswitch aptamer
About the family: THF riboswitch presents a pseudoknot that joins P1-P2 and the loop of P3 and two THF binding.
Source: RNAcentral
AGAGUAGAACGCGCGCGUGGCAUAUGCCGUAGUGCCGCCGGAUGGGAGGUUGCCGGCGGACGAAACGGGACUUCCCGUGCGGUGCGCGUUCGCAGCCGCU